RNAcentral lists this transfer RNA (76 nucleotides) under Yersinia pseudotuberculosis. RNAcentral's name for it is "tRNA-Val". It matches the Rfam family "tRNA". From Rfam's summary of the family: Transfer RNA (tRNA) molecules are approximately 80 nucleotides in length. Their secondary structure includes four short double-helical elements and three loops (D, anti-codon, and T loops). Further hydrogen bonds mediate the characteristic L-shaped molecular structure. tRNAs have two regions of fundamental functional importance: the anti-codon, which is responsible for specific mRNA codon recognition, and the 3' end, to which the tRNAs corresponding amino acid is attached (by aminoacyl-tRNA synthetases). tRNAs cope with the degeneracy of the genetic code in two manners: having more than one tRNA (with a specific anti-codon) for a particular amino acid; and 'wobble' base-pairing, i.e. permitting non-standard base-pairing at the 3rd anti-codon position. Lineage: Bacteria; Pseudomonadati; Pseudomonadota; Gammaproteobacteria; Enterobacterales; Yersiniaceae. The record is from RNAcentral.
GGGCGAUUAGCUCAGUUGGUAGAGCAUCUCCUUUACACGGAGGGGAUCAUCAGUUCGAAUCCAGUAUCGCCCACCA